Molecule: long non-coding RNA, 440 nt
Organism: Pan troglodytes (chimpanzee)
Lineage: Eukaryota; Metazoa; Chordata; Mammalia; Primates; Hominidae
Exons: 3
Source: RefSeq, a predicted model, not a curated record
ACCGGGGAGCUUCCAGAAAGCACAUCAACAGAUGGAAAGGCAAACCCCUCAGCCAUGAGAUGUUGCCGAAGUUUACUCCAAACAAGGAAGUCGGGAAAAUCGCCACGCCCACUUCCUCCUAGCCACUGCCCCCAGCACUGGCCUGGAGCCCCGAUAGUGUUUCUUCUCCACUGUCCCUGCCAGGAAGAGAGAAGACAGCUCCUCAGCAUCUCACUAAUGCAUUUCAACCAUUCUCAGACUACCAAGCCUGGAAUUGUCUUUCCCCUCAGCCAACCAGGUUUGCCUAGAGACCUCCCUCCUCACCAUUCAGGUAUCUGCUAAUCUCCCGGGUCCUCCAGAAAGCAUUUUCUGCCUGACAUUCCUCAGGGGAGGUAACCACCCCCCUUGAAGCCUCCCCUGGAUCCCAUUCUGUGUCCCCAUAAUAAAAUCAUCACACUGUA